This 418-nucleotide ribosomal RNA is filed under the name Aurospio sp. 249 PB. RNAcentral's name for it is "partial 16S ribosomal RNA". It matches the Rfam family "Bacterial large subunit ribosomal RNA", at positions 1959 to 2597 of the family's 2925-position model. Lineage: Eukaryota; Metazoa; Annelida; Polychaeta; Spionida; Spionidae. The record is from RNAcentral.
GCAUAAUCAUUUGCCUUUUAAUCGGAGGCUUGUAUGAACGGACACACGAAAACGCAACUUUCUUAUCGAGGAAAAUAAAAAUUAACCUUCAAGUGAAGAGACUUGAGUACCAUAAAAAGACGAAAAGACCCUAUGGAGCUUUACUUAAGUUAUUAAACCACAAAUAAAAAAAGCUUUUUUUACUAAAAAAGUUUAGUUGGGGCGACUAAGGAGCACACACCACCCUCCUACUGACAAAAGACUCUAAAUCUACAAAAGAUCCACAAACGUGAAUAAAAAUCCAGCUACCCUAGGGAUAACAGGCUAAUCCUCCUUAAGAGCUCAAAUUGACAGGAGGGCUUGGCACCUCGAUGUUGGCUUAAGAUCUCUACUAAGUGCAGCAGCUUAGGUAGUAGGUUUGUUCAACCUUUAAAAUCUU